RNAcentral lists this unclassified non-coding RNA (400 nucleotides) under soil metagenome. Its description in RNAcentral is "partial contains 5.8S ribosomal RNA, internal transcribed spacer 2, and large subunit ribosomal RNA". The stretch from base 1 to 121 matches the Rfam family "5.8S ribosomal RNA", at positions 35 to 154 of the family's 154-position model. The record is from RNAcentral.
GAUGAAGAACGCAGCGAAAUGCGAUAGGUAGUGUGAAUUGCAGAUGUAACGUGAAUCAUCGAAUCUUUGAACGCAAAUUGCACUCUCUGGUAUUCCGGGGAGUAUGCCUGUUUGAGGGUCGCCAAAUCAACAUCGAAAUUCAUUUGCUUUUGUAAAUGUUUAUCGGAUUUGAGCCGUCUUUUUAUUUUUUUUAAAGUGGCUUAAAAUGUAUUUUUUUGGUAUCGAAAAACGUUAUUUUACGAUCCAAUCGAUCAAAAAACAAACGUUUCGAAUGCCGUCUUUUAAUGUAAUACGUUUGACUGUGUCAUACAAUCAUGGUUUCAUUCGUAUACGAGUUUAAUUUUUGACCUCAAAUCAGGUAAGAACACCCGCUGAACUUAAGCAUAUCAAUAGCGGAGGA